Gallus gallus (chicken) is the source of this 85-nucleotide microRNA precursor. Ensembl annotates it as gga-mir-200b. Its record names the gene gga-mir-200b. The record is from Ensembl. Lineage: Eukaryota; Metazoa; Chordata; Aves; Galliformes; Phasianidae.
GCCAUUACCAUCUUACUGGGCAGCAUUGGAUGUUCUCUGUUUUUCUAAUACUGCCUGGUAAUGAUGAUUGUGGUGUUUCGUGCAC